UGAUCUUUCUUGGACAUAGGCCUACAUUUUGAAGUGACCCUUCGAAUUAAAAAGGUUCCUCUGCUGCUUUUGAGGAAAAACAUCAAUGUGCUUGGCCACUCUGGUUUUUUAAAAAUGGUAUUCUGAACUAAAGCAAGGAUUGUUCAAGUUAGUUGAAAAUAGACCGUCUCUGGUUAAAUUAGUUCUACACCAAGCCUUUAGGUGGCAGUAAAACUAAUUGGCACAAUGCGAAUUCCACACACAAGCCACAAAGAAGCCAUCAGCCGCGGUCAACAUCACCUUCCUGAUUGAACAGAACCACGCGUUGUCUGUGUGGUUUACAAGUUUCUUGGCGAUAUGGGGGAAAAGUUCCUCACAUACCAACGGAAAAUGGGCGUCAUAUACAUGCAGUCACACAGGGGUUCCAAGACCCACCGGCGUAAAAUCAAGUCAAAGGCUGCUGUCUCAUAAUAUGGCGAAGACGAGUCACCUGAAGGCCUAACUCGCCAUAGAAGACUGAAAGAAU
Molecule: long non-coding RNA, 505 nt
Organism: Engraulis encrasicolus (European anchovy)
Lineage: Eukaryota; Metazoa; Chordata; Actinopteri; Clupeiformes; Engraulidae
Exons: 3
Source: RefSeq, a predicted model, not a curated record